UGAGUGAAGAAGGCCUUCGGGUUGUAAAGCUCUUUCGGCAGGAACGAAACGGCGAGCUCUAACAUAGCUCGCUAAUGACGGUACCUGAAGAAGAAGCACCGGCUAACUACGUGCCAGCAGCCGCGGUAAUACGUAGGGUGCGAGCGUUAAUCGGAAUUACUGGGCGUAAAGCGUGCGCAGGCGGUUGUGUAAGACAGGUGUGAACUCCCCGGGCUUAACCUGGGAACUGCGCUUGUGACUGCACGACUAGAGUAUGGCAGAGGGGGGUGGAAUUCCACGUGUAGCAGUGAAAUGCGUAGAGAUGUGGAGGAACACCGAUGGCGAAGGCAGCCCCCUGGGCCAAUACUGACGCUCAUGCACGAAAGCGUGGGGAGCAAACAGGAUUAGAUACCCUGGUAGUCCGCGCCCUAAACGA
This 415-nucleotide ribosomal RNA is filed under the name uncultured bacterium. RNAcentral's name for it is "bacterial SSU rRNA". It matches the Rfam family "Bacterial small subunit ribosomal RNA", at positions 402 to 809 of the family's 1533-position model. The record is from RNAcentral.